This 889-nucleotide long non-coding RNA is filed under the name Vitis vinifera (wine grape). Its description in RNAcentral is "long non-coding RNA (VVIN_LNC005401)". Lineage: Eukaryota; Viridiplantae; Streptophyta; Magnoliopsida; Vitales; Vitaceae. The record is from RNAcentral.
CUCUAUUAGCAGCCACCCUCUGAGCACUCUGCUCACCUCCUGCAUAGAAUGAGGAAUGCCUCUCAGACUACUGAGUUCUCUGUCUCUGCUGCGGGCCCUGAGAUAUCCCCUAGGAACUUUCCCCCAUUCUUUGUUUCCCUUUUCUAUCCCCCCUUUGCUCCCGAAUUUGGUUGGUCUCCUCAAUAUCCUACUCCACCAACAAAGCCCUCUUAACCAACUCAGAAUAAUCCCUUAUUGCCAGUGUGACUAAUCUGUUCCUAAUAGCUGGCCUCAACCUCUACUGGAACCUCUUAGCCUUUUCUCCUUCCUUACUGAUCAUCCCCAAAGCAAAACGAGACAACUAUGAGAAACAUGACUCAUACUCCAGCACCGACAUGGUUCCUUGGAUGAGGUACUCAAACUCCAUCCUCUUGGCAUGCUUAGCCACCUCCCCAAAAUACUUGCCUAGGAAGAUUCUCUCAAAUUCCUCCCAGGUCAUAACCUCAAUGUCAUACACCUUUUUCAUUGAUUCCCACCAGAAAUCAGCUUUUUCAACAAGCAUAUAUGCUGCCAAACCUACCCUUCUUUCCUCAGGUACGUCCAGUCCCACUAGAAUUCUUUUCAUCCUCCUCAACCAAUGCUAAGCUGCUUCAGCACUGGGCUCUCCAUUAAAAGAUGGAGGCUGCAUCACCAUGAACCUCUUCAUUGCUUCCAUUUGGCUCAUUGCUGGCCUUUCAGUGCGACUCCUCUUAUGUGAGUGGCCUGAAUCCUCAUGGCCCUAGGUACCUCCCGAUCUCCUAGAGUCCUGACCUCUCAUCGAUUGAACAGUCUCUCUCAACUCCCUUCUUACUUCUCGGAGUAGUUCUUCUCUUAGUUCUUCUCUUACCGACUCCAACUCCUCAUUUCUCUC